Molecule: long non-coding RNA, 2380 nt
Organism: Helianthus annuus (common sunflower)
Lineage: Eukaryota; Viridiplantae; Streptophyta; Magnoliopsida; Asterales; Asteraceae
Exons: 5
Source: RefSeq, a predicted model, not a curated record
UCACCAACCCACCCCCAUGUCUGUGCGCUUUCUCUCUCUCUCUAAAAAUCUGGUCACUAUAUUAUUUCUCCGGCGAGGGAUUCCGUCCAACCGGCAUCAACGGAGGUGAAUCACCGGCGGCACGUGCAGGUGGAACAACCACACGUGAUGUUAUCAGGGGGAAAAGAGGAUUUGGGUGCACUAGCAAUGUUGGAAGAUAGUGUGAAAAAACUCAAAACCCCUAAAUCAUUACCUUAUCAAACUUUAACAAAGUCACAAAUUGAUUCAUCAGUUGAGUUAUUGGCAGAUUGGGUGUAUGAACACUGUGGAUCUAUCCCAUUUUCAAGUUUAGAAGACCAAAAGUUUAAUAGUUUCUUGAAUAAAAUCGGGCUGCCAUCAAUGGACCAAAUUGAUUUAGCCAGAGAAUGGCUGAAUUCGAAGUAUAAAAAGGUGAGAAUCGAGUCCGAAGCGAGGAUUCGUGACACGAUGUUCUUUCAAAUCGCGUCGGAUGGGUGGAAGUCGGGUGGGGAUAAUAAUCAUCAUUAUCAUGAUCAUGGUUCGGGUGGGUUCGAUAAUUUGGUGAAUUUAUCGGUGAAUUUGCCAAAUGGAUCCGGGGUUGGUGAUGAAGAUGAUGAUGGUUAACUGAGAAAUUUCUUACUGAUUUUCAAACAGUAAAAGGGUAUAACAAAAAUUGGCUUUGUAUCAAGGAGUUUGCCCCAUUUACAUGGAGUUUGUGAUGAUGCUGAAGAAACCUUUGCAAAUGCUCUAGUUGUGUUGAAGAAUCAAGGGAUGGUGAAGGAAGGUGGGCAUGUAGCUCUUCUUCAGAGUGGCAAACAACCCAUCUGGCGGUUCCAGUCUAGCCAUAAUAUUCAGGUCCAAAAGGUUGCGUAUUCGUAAGUACAAUAAUGUGCUCGUGGCAUACAGUGAUACAACACAAGUGCCUUCAACAACUACCGAUGUACAUCAAAUCGAGGUAUGUGUUUUAUUUUUUAUUUAGCCCUUUACUUUUGAUACUUCACCGCAGCCGGUUAGCCACUUAAGUCCUUUGAUCAUGCCAUCGACUUAGUUUUUUUUUACCCAUGUAUCUAUUAUCAAUGUUAGCUUUCAAUUUCAUCAUCUCAAUAUUUCCACUGACGUACAUAGACGACCAGAAGUACAUUUUAACAUUUAACUAUUUUUCCUUACUGUCGACUUGAUCAUUUAUGCAAGAAGUAACUUUUACAAUUUGAGUCCAAAUUUGACUAUCCAAUGCCGCCUCAUUUUAUCCUUUGCUCAGGAAUACAAUUUAGAUGACUUUAUCCUAAUUAUAAUAGUAAUAUUAGAUGACUUCCAUUGUAGAGGACUUUUUCGAUAUAUUGUCUUUGUUAUAGUGAUUUCUAAGAAAUUCUUUAACAUUCGAGGGUCCACAUUAUGAAAAUUCAAAUAACACAUAUUAACCUACUGUCUUUUGUCUUUAUUUUGAUUUACUGUCUAGUUCAGCAAUAUAUACACUUUUAGUUUAUGGAAUCUACACGGUUUUGUUUUUUCAGCUUUAAUAGCAAUUCAUAGAUUUAAUAACACAUUUUAACCCACUGUCUUUUGUCUUAAUUUCAUGAAAUUACUAUUUUAUUACAUCCAUUGUCGAUAGUAGUUAGCUAAAUGAUUAUAUAUAUGACUUUGUUCUUAACAAAAGUUUUGCGUCCAACGAUUUAACUAAAUACUUUUAUGACUUUUGUUUUAAGAGUGUAACUGAAUGAUUUUUACGAAUACUUUAACUAAAUAAUUAAUUUAGAGUGUUUACUUAUCCACUUGAUCCUGACCAGGUAAAUCAUUUUCUUAUAUUGCAAAAACAAAUGUACUGUCUAUUUGUAAAGGAAUGUUAUUUUUUGAAAUAGGAUUGUUCUAUUUCUAAAGGAAUACUAUUUGGCCAGCCUUGUGUUUUUGCAGGAGAUUCUGAAAAAUCACUAAUCGAGCCAUUAUUUUAUUUGUGGGUUUCCCUGAUUAUGCUAAAUCAGACUGGAGGUCGGUUCACCAUUUGGGAUUGAUGCAAUGAAUGAUGGAAUAAUUGGUCUGGACUAUCAUGCUCUGUAGCUUUGGCAAAAAACCGGAUGGGUCAGAACGGGUAAAUGCAUAAACAAGAACUGGCAAAAAACCGGAUGGGUCAGAACGGGUUAAUGCAUAAACAAGAACCAAAAGAUGAAUCUGUUAGAGUGCAACUUCUUCUGUUGAGAGCCACCGACAAAACUUAGAAGCUAUGAUGCGGAGUAUAAAAAAACUACUUGUUGAAGAUAGAGAUGAGUAGAUAGUUUUCUUUUCUCUUUAUUAUUGUAGUUGUCACUUUGUGUUGAAUAUAUUGUUAUUUGAUUUUGGACAAACAUGUACACCAUUUCACUAUUAAUGAUACCGAGUUUGGGCGUAACUA